GUACACUCCUGCGGGAGGCAGCAGUGGGGAAUAUUGGACAAUGGGCGCAAGCCUGAUCCAGCCAUGCCGCGUGAGUGAUGAAGGCCCUAGGGUUGUAAAGCUCUUUCACCGGUGAAGAUAAUGACGGUAACCGGAGAAGAAGCCCCGGCUAACUUCGUGCCAGCAGCCGCGGUAAUACGAAGGGGGCUAGCGUUGUUCGGAUUUACUGGGCGUAAAGCGCACGUAGGCGGACUAUUAAGUCAGGGGUGAAAUCCCGGGGCUCAACCCCGGAACUGCCUUUGAUACUGGUAGUCUUGAGUUCGAGAGAGGUGAGUGGAAUUCCGAGUGCAGAGGUGAAAUUCGUAGAUAUUCGGAGGAACACCAGUGGCGAAGGCGGCUCACUGGCUCGAUACUGACGCUGAGGUGCGAAAGCGUGGGGAGCAAACAGGAUUAGAUACCCCAGUAGUCCC
RNAcentral lists this ribosomal RNA (449 nucleotides) under uncultured organism. RNAcentral describes it as "partial 16S ribosomal RNA". It matches the Rfam family "Bacterial small subunit ribosomal RNA", at positions 331 to 797 of the family's 1533-position model. The record is from RNAcentral.